Molecule: long non-coding RNA, 605 nt
Filed under: Homo sapiens (human)
Lineage: Eukaryota; Metazoa; Chordata; Mammalia; Primates; Hominidae
Description: long intergenic non-protein coding RNA 1584
Source: RNAcentral
AGAACCAGGGAAGCUGACUGUGUAACUCCUAGUUGAGUGUGAAGACCUGAGGUAUCAGGGGUAGGGGUUGCUCUGCUUGUGUAAGUCCCAUAGUGUGAAGGCCAGAGAACCAAGAGAUGGUCAAGAAGAGAGAGAGCAUCACGACCUGUGCAGACUCCCCAGCAUCAUAACAGGAAGGUCCCACGAUCACGAGCACAUUGCCUUCAGCAUCCAGCACUGAAUAUGGUGAAUUGCACUCUGAAGAGCUUCCUAAGCUUGUAAGAAAGUGAUUCUGAAAAGCUCAACAUUUUGGUAGAAUGGAGAGAUUUGACAUUGCUUCUGCUCCAAAAGCAAAAGACUUGGGUGACUGCAGCAAGAGAUGUCCAGAGUCUCAACAUUGGGUGAUUGAAGAGCAGAAAGACUGGCAUGAAAUAUCUGUCAACAUAGCUCAACAAGGAAUCAGGAAGAGAGAGUCUUCAAGAUGGCUGACUAGAGGCAUCUGGUACUUGCCUCCUCCACAAAGAAGAACCAAAAUAGCAAGUAUAUUAUUACACUUCGAAUAGAUCAUCUAAGAAAGAACACUGGAAUUCAACCAAGAAGUGGCAAUAAAUACCUAAGGCAAGGAA